RNAcentral lists this long non-coding RNA (772 nucleotides) under Trifolium pratense (red clover). RNAcentral's name for it is "long non-coding RNA (TPRA_LNC005221)". The record is from RNAcentral. Lineage: Eukaryota; Viridiplantae; Streptophyta; Magnoliopsida; Fabales; Fabaceae.
AAAGAAACAGAGCAUAGUAUACCAAAAAAAUAAAAUAAAGAAACAGAGCAGAGGCAUGGUGUGGAUCGUUGAGAAGCUACAAAGGAUAAAAUAUAUUUCUGAUUACCUUUCAAAUAAAUAUUUAUUAACAAUUUGAUGCAUAACAAGGAAAUAAUAAAGAAAGGGAGAACAGAUGGAAGGCAAAAAUGAGAGGAUAAUAUUCUGCGUAUUUUUUAUAUUAUAAGCUUGUAUACAUAAGCAAACUCUAAACCCUAAUUUGUUUUCCCUCCAUUUUAUCUUGCAAUUUUUAUUAAAAAAUAAUACAAUUUUGUCUUCACUAGGAUUCGAACCCGCAACCUUUCAAUGCAAGACAAUAUUUCCAACCAUUAUGGCAAGUAUACCAAUUAUGAUUAAAAUUAUGUGUAAUAAUUGCUAAGCACCAUCAAUUUUAAAAGUAUAUCAUAUCAAAAUUAUUGUUAUUCAUCACGAAAUAUUUUUAUGUCUUUCCUGAUCAAUGAUUUUUUUUUCUACCGGAUCAUAAAUUUAGAGAAUAAUUAUCAUGUGAGAUUUGGAAAGUUAUUAUCACGUGUAAUUUGGAAAGUUAUUAUCAAACUCAAUUCUACUAAAUCAAUAUUUUUUUUUGCAAUACAACCAAACACAACCAUAAUCAUAUCACUAAUCACAUUCAUUAUUUUGUUUUUAAUAUUGCAGAUUUAAUAUUAACCGAUGAUUAAUUGAUAUAAUAUGCACUAGCAGACCAAUUGUGAUUUAAAUUAUGUCCACAAAGUGUUAA